Molecule: ribosomal RNA, 253 nt
Filed under: uncultured bacterium
Lineage: Bacteria
Description: partial 16S ribosomal RNA
Rfam family: Bacterial small subunit ribosomal RNA
Source: RNAcentral
UACGUAGGGGGCAAGCGUUGUCCGGAAUUACUGGGCGUAAAGCGUGCGCAGGCGGCUUCUCAAGUCAGGGGUGAAAGCCCAGAGCUCAACUCUGGAACUGCCUUUGAGACUGAGAGGCUUGAGUACGGGAGAGGUGAGUGGAAUUCCCAGUGUAGAGGUGAAAUUCGUAGAUAUUGGGAAGAACACCGGUGGCGAAGGCGGCUCACUGGCCCGAAACUGACGCUCAUGCACGACAGCGUGGGGAUCAAACAGG